This 764-nucleotide ribosomal RNA is filed under the name uncultured Streptococcus sp. RNAcentral's name for it is "bacterial SSU rRNA". It matches the Rfam family "Bacterial small subunit ribosomal RNA", at positions 28 to 776 of the family's 1533-position model. Lineage: Bacteria; Bacillati; Bacillota; Bacilli; Lactobacillales; Streptococcaceae. The record is from RNAcentral.
GACGAACGCGGGCGGCGUGCCUAAUACAUGCAAGUAGAACGCUGAAGGAGGAGCUUGCUUCUCUGGAUGAGUUGCGAACGGGUGAGUAACGCGUAGGUAACCUGCCUGGUAGCGGGGGAUAACUAUUGGAAACGAUAGCUAAUACCGCAUAAGAGUAGAUGUUGCAUGACAUUUGCUUAAAAGGUGCAAUUGCAUCACUACCAGAUGGACCUGCGUUGUAUUAGCUAGUUGGUGGGGUAACGGCUCACCAAGGCGACGAUACAUAGCCGACCUGAGAGGGUGAUCGGCCACACUGGGACUGAGACACGGCCCAGACUCCUACGGGAGGCAGCAGUAGGGAAUCUUCGGCAAUGGACGGAAGUCUGACCGAGCAACGCCGCGUGAGUGGAGAAGGUUUUCGGAUCGUAAAGCUCUGUUGUAAGAGAAGAACGAGUGUGAGAGUGGAAAGUUCACACUGUGACGGUAUCUUACCAGAAAGGGACGGCUAACUACGUGCCAGCAGCCGCGGUAAUACGUAGGUGGCAAGCGUUAUCCGGAUUUAUUGGGCGUAAAGAGAGUGCAGGCGGUUUUCUAAGUCUGAUGUGAAAGCCUUCGGCUUAACCGGAGAAGUGCAUCGGAAACUGGAUAACUUGAGUGCAGAAGAGGGUAGUGGAACUCCAUGUGUAGCGGUGGAAUGCGUGGAUAUAUGGAAGAACACCAGUGGCGAAGGCGGCUACCUGGUCUGCAACUGACGCUGAGACUCGAAAGCAUGGGUAGCGAACGGG